Long non-coding RNA from Gambusia affinis (western mosquitofish), 1503 nucleotides. RefSeq lists it as uncharacterized. The record is from RefSeq and is a predicted model, not a curated record. The transcript is spliced from 4 exons. Lineage: Eukaryota; Metazoa; Chordata; Actinopteri; Cyprinodontiformes; Poeciliidae.
UUGUAUUGCUACAUCCAUAACAACGGCUUUCCUCUGUUGUUUAUCCACUACAACAACGUCUGGUUGGUUGGCCCUUACCAUUUUGUCUGUCUGGAUCUGGAAGUCCCACAGGAUCUCAGCUCCAUCAUUCUCCAACACAAUGUGCUCAGUGAAUGUCUCAAACAAUGGAGAACAGAAACUGAGGUGGUGGAGGUACCAUCAUGGGAGGACAAGCCCCUAUAUGGGAUUUACCACCAGCAAAUAACCUAGUGGCUGAUAUCAGAACGUUCUACCAAUGGCUGGAAAAAGCUGGACUCAAGGACAGCACAGAGGACCUCAUCAUGUCCCUAAACACCAGAGCAAUUGAUGUACCACACCAGACAAGACUCAAGGUGCAGGUUGUGCCAGGAGGCCCCUGAAACAGUCCAGCACAUCACAGCAGGGUGCAACAUACUGGCAGGGAAAGAGUUCAUGGAACGACAGAACCAGGUGGCAGGCAGAGUGUACAGAAACAUCUGUCAAUAGUUAAACUUUUUUAACUUAAAUCUUUCCUUCUGUCUCUUGAUGUUUUCAAGUUUACCAAGUUAGUGGAUCCUAACUUACCAACAACAUGUACUAAAAUGUUUCAGCUCAAAGUUUGUUUCUGUUUUCUCAUCAGUUUUUGCUGCUCUUGUUAAAAACAGAUAUUGAAACAUUGGUGUGUCUCCUGGAGGUCAAAGCGCUGUGAGUGUUUCUGAAGGCGGCUGGGAGGAGGAAGGGGAGGAGCUAAAGUAGAGAGCAGAUCGUAAGUUAUGCAGCGAACUGACUGCAGACUGCAGUCUGUCGACAGGAGGCUCAGACAGCGAGGAACAGAACCACUGAACACAGAGACGGAUUCCCGGCGGUGAACCUGCUGGAACAUGUUGAAUAGUUUCUCCGUUUCUAUUAAUCAUUAGAUGAAAUAAUGAAGAGAGAAACUCUACAACGUCUCCUCUCUGUGUGACAGAGGAGAGGCUGCAGAGCACCAACAACCCACUGCUGACAUCACAAACCCACCGGUCAAAGGUCACCAGGAACACUGCAGUUACUCACCUGCAUGUAGUUUAUAUCCUACAAGUUUAAUUCUUUUCAUGUAACUGAAAAUGUUGCAUGAAAACAUAAAAAUAAAAAUGUUUUUCUCGGCACAGAGAAACAGUUGGAGUUGAAAAUGAAAAUGAACAGAUUUCUAUUAGAAAUAUCAUUUUAUUAUUUACUGCUGGACUGAUUACAUUAACAUGUUAUUGGUAGAAACUGAUGAGGUAAACAUGUUCACUAAAGGGUUAUUCAUCUUGUUCACUAAACAUUGAAAUGUUCUAAAUCUUUUGUAUCUUGAACGUUUCCUUCAGUCAGACUUCAUCCACAGUUACAUUGAACACACAUGAAAUGAAAACACAAAAUCAGAUUCAAUUAACUCGUUAUAUAAUGUUCAGCCUCAUAAAGAUGUUUUCAUAUAUUCCUAAUAAUGGACAUUAAAAUAUGUUCCCUGUAUUUUAACAUCAUUUUUGU